AGCGGGCCGGCGAGCUGGUUGUGGCUGACAUCGAGCACCGUGAGCUCCCGCAGGCGGCCGAGCUCCGGCGGCAGGCAUGACUCGAGGCCGUUGUUGAUGAGCAAGAUCUCGUUGAGCGUGCCGGACAUGUUGGCGAGGCUGGCGGGGAGGCACCCGCCGAAGGUGUUGUGCGAGAGGACGAGGACGGAGACCGGCGAGUUGCCGAUGUUGUCCGGAAUCUCGAAGCGGAAGCGGUUGUGGUUGAGGAAGAUGGCGUCGAGCGGGCGGUCGAAGAGGCGGCUGGGCACGGCGCCCUCGAACUCGUUGAACCGGAGGUCGAGGAACCGGAGCGCCGGCAUGUCGAGCACGACGUCGGGGAAGGGGCCCACGAAGCGGUUGUUGCUGAGGUCGAGCUCGUGGAGGAGGCUGAGCCGGCGGAGCGUGCCCGGGAUCAUGCCGCAGAAGCGGUUGGAGUUGAGGUGCAGCAGCGCGAGGUCGGCGAGCAGGCCGAGCUCCGGCGGGAGGUAUCCCGCGAUGUCGCCGUGGUUGAGGUCGACGCCGGCGACGGCGAGCACGCGCGGGUCGGACGGCAGCGGCGCGCAGAAGACGCCCGUGUAG
Molecule: ribosomal RNA, 597 nt
Filed under: Triticum aestivum (bread wheat)
Lineage: Eukaryota; Viridiplantae; Streptophyta; Magnoliopsida; Poales; Poaceae
Description: partial small subunit ribosomal RNA
Source: RNAcentral